Molecule: RNA transcript, 2872 nt
Organism: Hordeum vulgare subsp. vulgare (domesticated barley)
Lineage: Eukaryota; Viridiplantae; Streptophyta; Magnoliopsida; Poales; Poaceae
Gene name: BTB/POZ and MATH domain-containing protein 1-like
Exons: 1
Source: RefSeq, a predicted model, not a curated record
GUCUAGGUGGGGGAAAACACAUCUAGUUUUCGAAAAAUUGUCAACUUUUUUUAUAGGUAUACAUUUGAGGGGAUGAAAUAAGUACCUAUAAAUUUUGGUCAAAAAAUAUGUCCAUUUGUGGGCUGUGCACUUACGGGCUCUAUUUUAGACCAUCCUCUCCCUUUUUUCUGUAUAUCCCACAAAAGGGCAUAUUUGUGGGCCAGAAGUUGGAAGUCUUGAACAUUCACAGUUUAUCAGACAAUGUACAUGUAAAACUAAUUCAAAAUAUCAAUGUGCAUGCUUUUCUAUUUAAAAAAAAGGGGGGCACAUGGGUAAAUGAAUUAGUUUGUGCAAUGUUAUUGAUAGCUUUGAAACUGGAAGCAGCUAGCAUCAAGGGAAAGCCCCAAGACCUUUGAUAUUCUUAGUUGUCUGGAAGCAGCUAGCAUCAAGGGAACAAACUAAAGCCCAAAAACUUUUAUACUGUUAACUUGCCAAUUAAGACCGGAAGUAGCUAGCAACAAAGGAACAAGUAAACCCCCAAAACUUUGAUAUUCUUAGCAUGCCAAUGGAGACUGGAAGCAACUAGCAUUAGCUUGCCAAUUAUGUUUGGAUUAGUUAUGGCUAAAUGCUACCCUACCAAUUUUUUGGUCAUGGCAAACUUUGAUCCUUGUAUGGAUGGUUGCCAAAAAAAUUGGCAUGCACAUGCCCCUUUGACUAUUCUAGUUCAUUUUUCUAGUUAUUGGUCAAAUCAUGAGCAAGUAAAACCUUGACUAAAAUAGCUAGCCACUUUUUUAGUACGGUAAACUUGAGUUCAAACCAAACACACCAUAAAUCCCAGAAAACCCACGGCCACGGCACGCAACCUGAUAUCAGCUCUGGAAUUAGCAGCAAGCAAGUUUAUACUAGGAUAUGCUUAAUUGAAGUGAAGCAAGGCAAAGCGAAGGAUCUGUCAUAGAAAUUUACAAGUCCUGGGUCUACCCUCCUUUUUGAAAAAAUAAAUAAAUUUGCAAGUCUUAUCCGAACAUUUUACGUGCUUAACCAAAGCAAAGGAUCAGUAAUAGAAGCUUGCAAGUCUUAUCAGAGCAUAUUACCUUCCUUCAUUUGGAGGAUUCAUAAAAUAUAUUCACCCAUUAACUAUUCUUGCUUGCAUAUAUUUGCAGCAUGGAUCGUUGCUGCUGCUACCGCAGUUUCCAUACACACUGUAUUCUCAUAUAAACUGGACUACCCUUCUCUGAGGCUGAGAGACUCAGUAUAUCUAAGAUGUCGUCAUGUUCUACCUCCGCUAUCAUCGCCAGAGCGGUGAGCGGGCACCACUUCCUCAAGAUCGACGGGUACUCGCAAACGAAGGUGGUCACCGUUGCAAGCUGCAUCCAAAUCCUGCACUUUUGACAUCGGAGGCCAUAGCUGGCGUAUCAAGUAUUACCCCAGUGGCUACAACUCAGGUGCUACCAGUUAUGUAUGUGUCUUCAUUCAGCUUGUCAGUGUCAGCAGGGACUUGCCGGUGGUGCCUGACAAGAGCAUCUCAGCUCAAGGAUCGCUCGGUUUACUGGACCGGACUGGGAAACCAGUGCCGUCAGAUACGUACACCUUCAGCAGGCGUUUCACGACCAGCGAAGAGGGCUGGUACAAAUUCUUCACAAGGUCGACGCUAGAGAGCUACCUCAAGGACGACUGCUUCACUCUCAGGUGCGACAUCACCGUCACGGAACUGCACGCCAAGGAACCAAAGGAUUGUGAUUUCGCUGAUCUCCUUUGGAAGGAGGGGGGAGAUGUGGCCUUCGAAGUGGGCAGUGAGAGACUCACCGCCCAUCGACGGGUGCUGGCUGCCAGAUCUCCAAUCUUGAAGGCAGCAGUGGAAGCAGAGCUCAUUGGCGUGCCAGAAAGGGAGAAGACACCCAUGGCCACCGUAAGGAUCGACGACAUGGAGGCAAAAGUGUUCAAGGCUUUGCUCCACUACAUAUACACCGACGCAUUGCCUGAUGAAAUGGACAAGGGAGAUGAGGCGGCAAGGGAGAUGAGGUGGCAACAGCAAUGGCGCACCGAUUGCUUGAAGCGGCGGAUAGGUACAAGGUGGAGAGGCUGAAGCUGAUCUGCGAGGACAUGCUGUGCAAACGUGUCUCCACGAGCAUGGUGAUAACCACACUGGUGUUAGCAGAGCAGCACCACUGCCAGAAACUCAAGGCAGUGUGCAUCAAGUUCCUCAUCUCUCCGAAGAAUAUGGAAGUCAUCUUGGAAAAUGGCGGUUUCAAACAGUUACAGAGGAGCUGCCCCUCUGUUCUCAUGGACCUAAUACAAAGGGCAAAAGUGGCCUGAGAGAAGCAAGGAUACAGUCGGUUCUUCUAUUGUAAAUGCAGUAUUGGACGAUGUAAGAAUGGAAGUAGUGUGCUUCAGUGGUGUUAAACAACUACUGAUAAUCAACUAUGUGCCAUACUAAUGUACUUUCAUAAUAUUUGGAAUUGUAGCUGCACAUGUUUGCUAUACAACAAUAAUGCUUAUAAUUGUUGAUUUCUUUAAAUGCUAUACAACUAUACAAUUAUAGUUAUAUACCGCCCCCUAGAGGCUGCGUUCCCGCAGUUAUGCUUCGUGGUCAUGCUACUAGCUUGGUCAUGGUUGAGCACCAGCUCAACCAUGAAGCCGGCACCAGAGGCUUGUCUUGGAUACUUCAGCUCUUCAAGUAAAUAGUAAUCCUUAAGAUCACGACAUGAUAAAAAAUGUAUACAUAGCAGGCUUGAAGAUGAUCUCACAAAAAGCAAUAAGCAGUUUUUCAAUUUACGACAAAAGUAACAAAAGUUAAGUAGCUAAACCUUUAAUAUUGUACAUAUUGAAUUACAAUAAUGUACGAGAGUGCGGUGACUGUACUAUUAGCUUGACCUCAUCAAGCUGGUCUCACAAA